RNAcentral lists this ribosomal RNA (130 nucleotides) under uncultured bacterium. RNAcentral describes it as "partial 16S ribosomal RNA". The record is from RNAcentral.
AGUUAGCCGUGGCUUAUUCCUCAGGUACCGUCAUUAUCGUCCCUGAGAAAAGAGGUUUACAACCCGAAGGCCUUCAUCCCUCACGCGGCGUUGCUGCUUCAGGGUUUCCCCCAUUGAGCAAAAUUCCCGA